AUGGCUGAUAGGAUAAAUAUCUUUGCACCUAACUUGUCACCCAGUGCCUCUAGGUUUUGGAAAGGUAUAAAAACCAUUAUCCAAGCACUGAAAUUUGGUUAUAGAUGGAAGAUUGGGCCAGGAGAUAAAGUUAGAUUCUGGGAGGAUACCUGGUUCGGUACUUCCCCCCUAGCUGUGCAAUUCUGGCCUAUCUACUCCAUUUGCAAUGAGCAAACCAAGAGUGUUAGUGAGGUGUGGGAUGGUCAUCAAUUA
RNAcentral lists this ribosomal RNA (252 nucleotides) under Triticum aestivum (bread wheat). RNAcentral's name for it is "partial small subunit ribosomal RNA". Lineage: Eukaryota; Viridiplantae; Streptophyta; Magnoliopsida; Poales; Poaceae. The record is from RNAcentral.